RNAcentral lists this unclassified non-coding RNA (263 nucleotides) under Hevea brasiliensis (rubber tree). Lineage: Eukaryota; Viridiplantae; Streptophyta; Magnoliopsida; Malpighiales; Euphorbiaceae. The record is from RNAcentral.
CGCUGAGUAGCCCUGACCGGUCGCCUACGACGACACCGGGGACGAAGAAUGAGGCCGCGGCAGCGACGAAAGCGGGGAAGUAAAGGGCAAACAUUCCGACCCUACUGGAGAGCAUCAUCUCCUUGCCCUUCUUGGCGGGGUUGGCGUUCCAGAACUUUGAGUACUGGAGGUGUUUGCCCCGGACCUCUGAGAUCCCCAAGUUAGCGAGGGAGGUGACGCUCACCACCGACAUGGCCGUGAUGAAGAUCGACGGCGGUGGUGAG